UACGAGGGGGGCAAAUGUUGUUCGGAAUCACUGGGCGUAAAGGGAGCGUAGGCGGGUUCUUAAGUAAGGUGUUUAAUCCCGGGGCCCAACCCCGGACCGGCAUUUUAAACUGGGAAUCUUGAAUAGUGGAGAGGUCGGUGGAAUUGGGGGUGUAGCGGUGGAAUGCGUAGAGAUCCCCAAGAACACCAGUUGCGAAGGCGGCCGACUGGACACAUAUUGACGCUGAGGCUCGAAAGCAUGGGGAGCAAACAGG
This 253-nucleotide ribosomal RNA is filed under the name uncultured bacterium. RNAcentral describes it as "partial 16S ribosomal RNA". It matches the Rfam family "Bacterial small subunit ribosomal RNA", at positions 524 to 776 of the family's 1533-position model. The record is from RNAcentral.